UAUUAAAAAGUUAUGGCUUUACCAGGGCCCAGGGUGGUCUCAUGUUAUUGAGAAUUCUUAGCAAAGUCUUUGUUAUCAACUUACUCUUUGAGCGAUGGAACGAUGCUCUGUUUAUACCGAAGUAUUUCUUUUCCAAUAUAUCCACCAAGUAGCAGCCGAUAUAUGAAGUAAGUUUGUUGUCAUUUUUUCAACAAGCUAUAGAAAACUUAACAAACAAGCAAGACUCAUUUUUCUUUCAAAUUUUUUAUCGAAGCAUUGGGCGAAUCUGUAACGUCGCUAAGUUCAAGGUUUAUUUGAUUAAUGAUAUGUACCGUUAAAAAAGUAUCAUACUGUUGAUCUUUCUCAUGAAAUGAAAAGUCAAAAUGUUGGCUGUAAAUUUUAGUCAGUUUAAAUCUCGCUACAAAUCAUGAUAGUUUCUUUUUCUUUCAUCUUCCCUUUAAAACUAUGCUAAUAUUACCUAUACUAUACCCAAA
Xenia sp. Carnegie-2017 is the source of this 473-nucleotide long non-coding RNA. RefSeq lists it as uncharacterized. The transcript is spliced from 2 exons. NCBI's taxonomy places the organism in Eukaryota, Metazoa, Cnidaria, Anthozoa, Malacalcyonacea, Xeniidae. The record is from RefSeq and is a predicted model, not a curated record.